This 279-nucleotide ribosomal RNA is filed under the name uncultured bacterium. Its description in RNAcentral is "partial 16S ribosomal RNA". It matches the Rfam family "Bacterial small subunit ribosomal RNA", at positions 506 to 784 of the family's 1533-position model. The record is from RNAcentral.
UGCCAGCAGCCGCGGUAAUACGGAGGGUCCGAGCGUAGUUCGGAAUUACUGGGCUUAAAGAGCUCGUAGGUGGUUAAAAAAGUUGAUGGUGAAAUCCCAAGGCUCAACCUUGGAACUGCCAUCAAAACUUUUUAGCUUGAGUGUGAUAGAGGAAAGUGGAAUUUCUAGUGUAGAGGUGAAAUUCGUAGAUAUUAGAAAGAACACCAAAUGCGAAGGCAACUUUCUGGGUCACUACUGACACUGAGGAGCGAAAGCAUGGGCAGCGAAGAGGAUUAGAUA